CUUACCUGGUCUUGACAUCCACGGAAGUUUUCAGAGAUGAGAAUGUGCCUUCGGGAACCGUGAGACAGGUGCUGCAUGGCUGUCGUCAGCUCGUGUUGUGAAAUGUUGGGUUAAGUCCCGCAACGAGCGCAACCCUUAUCCUUUGUUGCCAGCGAUUAGGUCGGGAACUCAAAGGAGACUGCCAGUGAUAAACUGGAGGAAGGUGGGGAUGACGUCAAGUCAUCAUGGCCCUUACGACCAGGGCUACACACGUGCUACAAUGGCGCAUACAAAGAGAAGCGACCUCGCGAGAGCAAGCGGACCUCAUAAAGUGCGUCGUAGUCCGGAUUGGAGUCUGCAACUCGACUCCAUGAAGUCGGAAUCGCUAGUAAUCGUGGAUCAGAAUGCCACGGUGAAUACGUUCCCGGGCCUUGUACACACCGCCCGUCACACCAUGGGAGUGGGUUGCAAAAGAAGUAGGUAGCUUAACCUUCGGGAGGGCGCUUACCACUUUGUGAUUCAUGACUGGGGUGAAGUCGUAACAAGGUAACCGUAGGGGAACCUGCGGUUGGA
RNAcentral lists this ribosomal RNA (552 nucleotides) under Salmonella enterica. RNAcentral describes it as "bacterial SSU rRNA". It matches the Rfam family "Bacterial small subunit ribosomal RNA", at positions 970 to 1522 of the family's 1533-position model. The record is from RNAcentral. Lineage: Bacteria; Pseudomonadati; Pseudomonadota; Gammaproteobacteria; Enterobacterales; Enterobacteriaceae.